RNAcentral lists this ribosomal RNA (197 nucleotides) under uncultured bacterium. RNAcentral's name for it is "partial 16S rRNA". It matches the Rfam family "Bacterial small subunit ribosomal RNA", at positions 338 to 524 of the family's 1533-position model. The record is from RNAcentral.
CCUACGGGAGGCAGCAGUGGGGAAUAUUGCACAAUGGGCGAAAGCCUGAUCCAGCAAUGCCGCGCUGUGUGAAGAAGGCCUUCGCGGUUUGUAAAGCACUUUUGUCCGGAAAGAAAUCCUUGGCUCUAAUACAGUCGGGGGAUGACGGUACCGGAAGAAUAAGCACCGGCUAACUACGUGCCAGCAGCCGCGGUAAU